This 336-nucleotide ribosomal RNA is filed under the name uncultured bacterium. Its description in RNAcentral is "partial 16S ribosomal RNA". It matches the Rfam family "Bacterial small subunit ribosomal RNA", at positions 338 to 691 of the family's 1533-position model. The record is from RNAcentral.
CCUACGGGGGGCAGCAGUAGGGAAUAUUGCUCAAUGGGGGAAACCCUGAAGCAGCAACGCCGCGUGGAGGAUGAAGGUUUUCGGAUUGUAAACUCCUUUUGUUAGAGAAGAGAAUGACGGUAUAUAACGAAUAAGCAACGGCUAACUCCGUGCCAGCAGCCGCGGUAAUACGGAGGGUGCAAGCGUUACUCGGAACCACUGGGCGUAAAGAGCGCGUAGGCGGGAUAGCAAGUCAGAUGUUAAAUCCUAUGGCUUAACCAUAGAACUUCAUUUGAAACUUUUAUUCUAGAGUAUUGGAGAGGUUGGUUGCAUUCUUUGUUUAGGGGUUCACUCCGU